RNAcentral lists this unclassified non-coding RNA (254 nucleotides) under uncultured Alphaproteobacteria bacterium. RNAcentral's name for it is "contains 16S-23S intergenic spacer region". It matches the Rfam family "Bacterial small subunit ribosomal RNA", at positions 524 to 776 of the family's 1533-position model. The record is from RNAcentral. Lineage: Bacteria; Pseudomonadati; Pseudomonadota; Alphaproteobacteria.
UACGAAGGGGGCUAGCGUUGUUCGGAAUUACUGGGCGUAAAGCGCACGUAGGCGGAUUGUUAAGUCGGGGGUGAAAUCCCAGGGCUCAACCCUGGAACUGCCUCCGAUACUGGCUGUCUUUGAGUCCGGGAGAGGUGAGUGGAAUGCCGAGUGUAGAGGUGAAAUUCGUAGAUAUUCGGCGGAACACCAGUGGCGAAGGCGGCUCACUGGCCCGGUACUGACGCUGAGGUGCGAAAGCGUGGGGAGCAAACAGG